This 21-nucleotide microRNA is filed under the name Mus musculus (house mouse). RNAcentral describes it as "mmu-miR-1188-5p". The record is from miRBase by way of RNAcentral. RNAcentral also lists the same sequence under 1 other name. Lineage: Eukaryota; Metazoa; Chordata; Mammalia; Rodentia; Muridae.
UGGUGUGAGGUUGGGCCAGGA